Molecule: long non-coding RNA, 894 nt
Organism: Myodes glareolus (Bank vole)
Lineage: Eukaryota; Metazoa; Chordata; Mammalia; Rodentia; Cricetidae
Source: RefSeq, a predicted model, not a curated record
CAUAAGAGAGACCACAGGCAACAUCUAGGGAAGGAACAAGCUAGUCUGGAGUGACAGCAGAGUCACUGGAAUAUAGACAGUGGUAGGCUAUCUUAACACAUCCUUAGGGGAAUCCGUAAGUAACUUGUAUUCUUCACUCAAAGCAUUCCCAGGGCUGGCCUGGCACCAGCAUUCCUGUGAGGGGGAGUUCUGGACAACUGCCGUGCUGUUACUCGGGGUCUGGAGGCAUCUGAGAAGCAGAAGAGAUGACCCAGGCUCUGAUCAUAAGUGAUGUCAGUUCCAGCAAGGACCAUGUGGCAUCGCGGGGUUAGCAUACAGCCAGGAGCAUGGGCACACCCCGCAGAGGUCUGAGUUGCAGAGGAGAAAGCAGACUGGCUGGCAGAUACGCAGUGCAGAGGAGAAGGCAGCCUCCGGAGUGUGCUGCUGGGUUCCAGAGCCCAUGGAAUUCCCAUUCAGAUGGCACACUGGAACCAGAGUGGAACAAAGCCUGGACGUACCAGUUUUGAGCUUGUUUGACCUGGGCCAGCCGCUGGUGGCAUCUUUGUUUGGGACAUCUUGAUGGGCACAAGAAAAGAGAAAGGAGAAAUGCGUAUGCAUCAAGCUUCAGGCUGGACAUUGUCCUUGUCACAUCUUCUCACGUCUUGUUGGGAGAGCUUCCUGGAGGAGGAACACACGGCAUGGGUCUCUGGAGACAAAGACAAUCGAAAAAAUGUGCUCGUCCAGCGAGACUGCGCGUUUUGAAGAUGAAAGCAUCAGCUUCAGAGGUGACGCUGGAUGAAGCUGAUUCCACCUCAGUUUUCUCCUCUGUUAUUUGGGUUUACUAAUAAAAUAUAUUUGGUAGACUUGCUGUGAAGCUAAAGAUAGCAACACACACAGCUGCUUUGGAAUGGUAAA